This 3164-nucleotide ribosomal RNA is filed under the name Sulfurovum xiamenensis. RNAcentral's name for it is "23S ribosomal RNA". It matches the Rfam family "Bacterial large subunit ribosomal RNA". Lineage: Bacteria; Pseudomonadati; Campylobacterota; Epsilonproteobacteria; Campylobacterales; Sulfurovaceae. The record is from RNAcentral.
AUUAAAUUAAUCUAAGGGCAGAUGGUGGAUGCCUAGACCAGGAGAGGCGAUGAAGGACGUACUAGGCUGCGAUAAGCCAGGGGGAGCUGCCAAGAAGCUUUGAUCCCUGGAUUUCCGAAUGGGGCAACCCGGCAUGUUGCGAAGCAUGUCACUCUUAGGAGAGCGAACGUGGGGAAGUGAAACAUCUCAGUACCCACAGGAAAAGAAAUCAACCGAGAUUCCCUUAGUAGCGGCGAGCGAAAAGGGAGUAGCCCUAAAGAGUUUAAGGUGUUAGUAGAAUAAGCUGGAAUGCUUGACCGUAGAGGGUGAAAGUCCCGUAUACGAAAACUAAUUAGACUUUAUUCGAGUAGGUCGGGACACGUGAAACCCUGACUGAAUAUGGGAGGACCACCUUCCAAGGCUAAAUACUACUCCAGGAUCGAUAGUGAACCAGUACCGUGAGGGAAAGGUGAAAAGAACCGCAGUGAGCGGAGUGAAAUAGAACCUGAAACCAUCUGCCUACAAUCAUUCAGAGCCCUAUGUUUUAUACAGGGUGAUGGACUGCCUUUUGCAUAAUGAGCCUGCGAGUUAUGGUGACUAGCAAGGUUAAACACACGUGAAGCCGUAGCGAAAGCGAGUCUUAAUAGGGCGAUAGUUAGUUGCUGUAGACCCGAAACUAAGUGAUCUAUCCAUGGGCAGGUUGAAGCUGGUGUAAGAGCUAGUGGAGGACCGAACGGGUGGAGGUUUAAAACUCCUCCGAUGACCUGUGGAUAGGGGUGAAAGGCCAAUCAAACUUAGUGAUAGCUGGUUCUCUCCGAAAUAUAUUUAGGUAUAGCGUCAUGUUCGAAGCAUAUGGGGGUAGAGCACUGAUUGGGCUAGGGCCUACACCAAGGUACCAAACCCAGUCAAACUCCGAAUACCAUAUGUGAAUUCAUGGCAGUCAGGUGGUGGGUGAUAAAAUCCAUCAUCGAGAGGGAAACAGCCCAGACUACCAGCUAAGGUCCCAAAGUUCUAUUUAAGUGGAAAAGGAUGUGGAGUUGCUUAGACAACCAGGAGGUUGGCUUAGAAGCAGCCAUCCUUUAAAGAAAGCGUAACAGCUCACUGGUCUAGCGAUUCUGCGCCGAAAAUAUAACGGGGCUAAAAUAGACACCGAAGCUGUAGAUUUAGUAUUUAUACUAAGUGGUAGGAGAGCGUUCUAGUCAGCAUUGAAGCCAUACCGGUAAGGAGUGGUGGAGCGGCUAGAAGUGAGCAUGCAGGCAUGAGUAGCGAGAAAACAGGUGAGAAUCCUGUUCGCCGUAAACCCAAGGGUUCCUACACUAUGCUCGUCAUUGUAGGGUUAGUCGGGUCCUAAGCUGAGUCCGAAAGGGGUAAGCGAUGGCAAAUUGGUUAAUAUUCCAAUACCAACUAAUAGUUUAGUACGAAGGGGGGACGCAUAGGGUUAAACGAGGUCACUGAUGGAAUAGUGGCUCGAAGGGUGUAGAUAAGCUGGAUAGGAAAAUCCGCCGGCUGUUUUCGAGACCUGACAGGCUGAUGACGCUCUUCGGAGCUGAUUCAGAAUCGUUGAUACCGUCGUGCCAAGAAAAGCCUCUAAGUGUAUUAUUAGUUGCCCGUACCGUAAACCGACACAGGUGGGUGAGAUGAGUAUUCUAAGGCGCGUGGAAGAACCCUGGUUAAGGAACUCUGCAAACUAGCACCGUAACUUCGGAAUAAGGUGUGCCUACUCUUGUAUAUGGACUUGCUCCAAAAAGCGAGAGAGGUUGCAACAAAGAGUCCCUCCCGACUGUUUAUCAAAAACACAGCACUUUGCUAACUCGUAAGAGGAUGUAUAAGGUGUGACGCCUGCCCGGUGCUUGAAGGUUAAUUGAUGGGGUUAGUACUUCGGUGCGAAGCUCUUGAUCGAAGCCCAAGUAAACGGCGGCCGUAACUAUAACGGUCCUAAGGUAGCGAAAUUCCUUGUCGGUUAAAUACCGACCUGCAUGAAUGGCGUAACGAGAUGGGAGCUGUCUCAACCAGGGAUCCAGUGAAAUUGUAGUGGAGGUGAAAAUUCCUCCUACCCGCGGCAAGACGGAAAGACCCCGUGCACCUUUACUAUAGCUUGACACUGCAAUUGGGAUAUAUUUGUGCAGGAUAGGUGGGAGGCUUUGAUUCAUCGGCGCCAGCUGAUGAUGAGCUAUCCUUGAGAUACCACCCUUAUAUAUUCUGAUUGCUAACUUGCGCCAGUUAUCCUGGCGGAGGACAAUGUCUGGUGGGUAGUUUGACUGGGGCGGUCGCCUCCUAAAAAGUAACGGAGGCUUACNCCGAGACUCAGUGAAAUUGAAAUCGCUGUGAAGAUGCAGUGUACCCGCGGCUAGACGGAAAGACCCCGUGAACCUUUACUACAGCUUGGCACUGAACAUUGAACCUACAUGUGUAGGAUAGGUGGGAGGCUUUGAAGACGUGACGCUAGUUGCGUUGGAGCCGUCCUUGAAAUACCACCCUUGUAUGUUUGAUGUUCUAACUUAGCCCCGUUAUCCGGGGUGAGGACAGUGUCUGGUGGGUAGUUUGACUGGGGCGGUCGCCUCCUAAAAAGUAACGGAGGCUUACAAAGGUUGGCUCAGAUGGGUUGGAAAUCCAUCGUAGAGUAUAAUGGUACAAGCCAGCUUAACUGCGAGACGUACAUGUCGAGCAGAGACGAAAGUCGGUCAUAGUGAUCCGGUGGUUCUGUGUGGAAGGGCCAUCGCUCAAAGGAUAAAAGGUACGCCGGGGAUAACAGGCUGAUCUCCCCCAAGAGCUCACAUCGACGGGGAGGUUUGGCACCUCGAUGUCGGCUCAUCGCAUCCUGGGGCUGAAGCAGGUCCCAAGGGUAUGGCUGUUCGCCAUUUAAAGCGGUACGCGAGCUGGGUUCAGAACGUCGUGAGACAGUUCGGUCCCUAUCUGCCGUGGGCGUUGGAUGAUUGAGGAGAGUUGCCCCUAGUACGAGAGGACCGGGGUGAACGAACCACUGGUGUACCAGUUGUCCUGCCAAGGGCAUCGCUGGGUAGCUAUGUUCGGAUGUGAUAACCGCUGAAAGCAUCUAAGCGGGAAGCCAACUCCAAGAUGAAUCAUCCCUGAAGAUCCGCAGAAGACUACUGCGUUGAUAGGCUGGGUGUGUAAGUGAUGAAAGUCAUUUAGCUGACCAGUACUAAUAGAUCGUUUGUAUUUACUUU